UUUCCAGAGCACAAGUUUCUCAAUUUUAUUUUCAGAUUGUUUAUUGUGUAUAGAAAUACAGUUGUCUUUUGUAUAUUGCUCUUGUACCCUGCAACUUUGUUGAACUUGUUUAUUAGUACUAAUAGUUUUGAAUGGAUUCCUGAGCAUUUUCUGUACAUGAGAUCAUGUCACCUGUGAAUAGAGAGAGUUUUACUUCUCUCCAGCCUAGCCUUUUAUCUCUUCCUCUUGAUGAAUUGACCUGAGCAGAAUCUCUAGGACAGUGUUGAACAGAAGUGGUGAGAGUGGACAUCCUUAUCUUGUUCCUGAUCUUCUGGGGAAAGCAUUCAGUCUUUUAUUUUAAGUAUGAUGCUAGCUGUGAGUUUUUCAUAGAUGGCCUUUAUCAGUUUCAGGAAGUUCCCUUCUAUCUCUAGUUUGUUGACUGGUAGCUUCUUAUACAUGGAUAAGAAGUUCCCACCUUGGGUCCAUGAUGUAGCCAUAUAACUAGAAGGAAGGAUCCCCUGGCUUUAGCCAAGGUCGUAUGUUGUCGGAACUUGUCCAUUCUCAAGAUUUCUAAAUAUGGCUUUUUUAUUAGUGAUUCUCAAAUUUGUGAUUCUGAUUUUGAAUUUUCACCUAAGUUCUAAUCUCUCUGACAUUUGCUUAUUUGAUAAUUCCAAUUAGCUACCAGUCUGCCAUUCCAAAUUCAGCAUGACUUUAUUCAUGCAUUCAUUUGAUUGAUUCAUUUACUGUACAUUGAGUGCUAUUCCAGACUCCAAAGGAUACGAGAAUAUGUUUGGAGAAAUGUCUGGGGUAAGAAUGGCUCUAACACAGAGGACCUGGCAUGUCAACAGAGGACCCUCUUGGAGAUAUGCAGGGGCCAUAUCACGAAGAUCCUGUGAGCUAAGUUCUAAGGAGUUAGAACUUUAUUCUGAAAGUAGUAGUGAGCCACUGAAAGAUCUGAAGCAGGAGAUCAGUGUCAGAUGUGAAUCUUGAACAAAUCAUGAGGAAGGAGAGCUAGUGUAGAAUAUAUAGAUUGAUGUUGAAAAUGAAGCUGGAGGUUGGGGACCUGGUAGUUCUAUCAUUUGAAAAGAAAAGAAAGCCUGAAAUAAGACAGUGGCAGUGGAGCUCUGGUGGCACAGUGACUAAGAGCUACAGUGAGCCAUGGCUCCUAACCAAAAGGUUGGCAGUUCAAAUCCACCAGCUGCUCCUUGGAAACACUGUGGGGAAGCUCUACUCUGUCCUAUAAUUAACUCGGUGACAAUGUUGGUUUUUUGUUUUUUAAGUGGGGAUAGAUCGUAGAUUUUUAGGAAGUCAAAAAUGGAUAGUACUUGGUAACUGGAUUAUAGAGGCUGAAGGAGCAGGACAGUACCUCCAUGAUUCCUAUGGUUUUAACUAGGCAGCCUAAGUGGUUAGGGAACAAACAGAGGGAACUGGUUUGGCAGGAAGAUGAAUUCAUAUUUAGAUAUGUUGGAGUGCUAGCAGCACAUCUACAUUGGGGAAGUGUUAUAGUUGUUGUUAGUUGCCAUCAAGUUGAUUCCGACUCAUGGCGACUCCAUGUGUGCAAAGUAGAACUGGGUUUUCAAGGCUGUCAUCCUUCAUAAGCCAGUAAUCAGGCCUGUCAUCCAAGGCACAUCUAGGUGAGUUCAAACUGUCAACCUUUUGGUUAGUAUUCGAGUGUUUUCAGCGUCUGCACCACCUUGGAAAUCCUAGGCGGUUAAAUGUGAGGCUGGAUUCAGAGAAAAAUGUUUUAGGUGAUAAUUAAUGUGAAUGAGGUCACUCAAGGAAUGAGCAGAGCUCGUGGUCAAUGAGAGUAUAAUGGAGACUAUAGGAUGAAUAGAGGAAAGGAAACCUGAAAUUAAGCUACAAGAGGUAGGAAGAAAGCUACGAGAGGCUGCUGUUACAGGCCAAAGUAGGGAAGAAUUAGCUCAAUUUUUCGUUAUCCUUUAGUUUUCCUUUUAACCAGUACAUUGUUUUAAACUUUAACAUGAAAAUUUUUUGUUUUGCUUUUCCCAUUUGCCUCAUGGUCUUUACUACCUAAGCCAGUGUUUCCUAACUUGGACAUAUACCAGAGUCACUUGGUGAGAUUAAAUGCAGGUUCUUUGGGUCCUGGUAGACCUACUGAAUGAGAAUCACCUGGGAUGAUACCUUAGAAUCUGUAUUUUUUAAAAACUUCUGUGAUAAAGACUUGCUCUUUACCAAGCUUGUUUCUUUUUAUCCCUGAUGCCAGCUAACCUACAUUUACUAGUCCCUUUGCUGUUGCGGAUGGCCAUAUGAUUGAGAUCUUUCCAUAGGAAAUUAAGCAGAAGUGUUGAGUGUCACUUUAUCCACUGCAAAUAUGAAGCCCCCUUGAUCGAUCCUCUCUCUUCCCCACCUGCUGCCUGGCAGUUGUAUGUAUGAUAGAGCAACAUUGGAAACGAGGGGUCAAAUAGAGCUGAGCAUCUGUCAGCCUGCGUCGUCUCCACCCUCCUCAAACUGAUCAUUAUCACUGAUUUUGGUCUUUCUGUAUGCAUGGAUUAAAAAUAAUGUGUUAUGCCACAGUUUUGGAAUUUACGUAUUAUACCAUCCAUUGUUACAUUAGCCAGUAUGGUUUCUUAGAUUACUAUUGAAGGAUCAGAAUUUGGGAACCAUGGCCCUUUGUCUAUGCCAUUUGUAUUUUUAAACUCAUUUAUAUGGUAGGGUAGUCUUCAGUUUCAAACAAUGUAUUGCAUUAGGCAAAUCUGCUGCAAAGACCUCUUUAAAUUAUUAAAAAGCAAAGAUGUCACUUUGGGGACUAAGGUGCACCUGACCCAAGCCAUGGUAUUUUCAGUUGCCUCAUAUACAUGUGAAAACUGGACAAUGAAUAAGGAAGGCUGAGAAAGAAUUGAUGCCUUUGAAGUACGGUGUUGACGAAGAAUAUUUAAUAUACCGUGAACGGACAGAAGAGCAAACAAAUAUGUCUUGGAAGAAGUAGCAGCCAGAAUGCUCCCUAGAAGCGAGGAUGGUGAGAUCGUGUACUUCUGGCAUGUUAUCAGGAAGGACCAGUUCCUAGAGAAGGAUAUCAUGCUUGGUAAAGUAGAGUGUCAGCAAAAAAGAAGACCCUCAACAAGAUCGAUAGACACAGUGGCUACAACAGUGGGCUUAAACAUAGCAAGGAUUGUGAGGAUGGCGCGGUUACUGGGCAGUAUUUCAUUCUGUUGUACAUAGGGUCACUGUGAGUUGGAACUAACUCGAUGGCACCUGACGACAAUAGUCUUCAGUUGUUGACUUACAGGGAUUGUAGGUAAAUAUUGUGUUUUUUUUUUUUUUUCUGUAAUAAUUUUAAUGGAAAUGGUUUUGUUAACAUCCUGAUAAUUUUAUUAAAUGACAAACAUCUGCAUGCUUACUGCCUCCUGGUCUUUGAUGCUGGAGAUACAUCUAUAUAUAAAACAAAGGGUCUGCCUUCUGGUGUGGAAUAAGGUGGACUCAGAUAAGGGCAGAUGUCUUAGUACUUUGGAGCGCCAAGGGAGAAGUGGCUAAUUGAACCCAAGGUGGAGUGGGUGGAGUCCUUCUCGAUGUUUAUAUCCCUUUUGUAAUAUUGUUCUCUUUUGUACUUGUUGGACAGGAGUCAUACAUAACCUCUUUAAAAUAUCCCUUUAAACGAAAAAAACCAAACCUGCUUCCAUUGAAUCGAUUCCAACUCCUAGUGACCUUAUAGGACAGAGUUUCCAAGGAGCGCUUGGUGGAUUCCCUUUAGAAGAUCGAAAACCACAAGGACAUGUUUGGUAGAUUUGUGUUCCGUGGGGUGUGCUGAACAUGUGCCUUUUCUUAAUCUCCAUCACUAAGAAAAUUAUUUAAGAGAGCUAUAAAUUUCAGUCUUGAUGCAGAUUAUAUUGUUAAAUGUUGCCUGCAAUUAACAAAGAAAAAAAUGUAAAGAAAACCUUAUUGAUGAUAUUUACUCUUUCCCUCUUCCUUUGUAGGGAAAUUUUGGAUUGGGAAUGGUGAAAGUCAGAAAGAACCUACUUUCUUCAUAAACAUGGUGCUCUGACGGUUUGACUGUUAGAGUUGAUCACUACAGAGACUAUUUUGCAUGUUCUCAUGAAUUACUGGAGUCCUGGUGCCAUAGUGUUUAAGAACCCAGCUGCUAACCAAAAGGUCAGCAGUUUGAAUCUACCAGCCACUCCUUGGAAACGCUGUGGGGCAGUUCUGCUCUGUCCUGUUGGCUUGUUAUGAGUUGGAAUCUACUCGACAGCCUCAAGUUUCGGGUUUGGGUUGCUUUGGCUGUUUGGAGCCCCUCCCAGUUUCAUAUGAAUUCAAGGAUUGAGUUUCCCAUUUCUGCCAAGAAACUGUUGGAAUUUGUGACUUGUGGAAUUAAAGAGAGAGAUGCCUGAAAACUAGAGACACAGAAGUAUAUUUUUCAGAAAGGGGAAGAAGGAAGACUAUAGAGCUUGCUAUGGCCCUCAGGCGAAGAGAGACCAAUUGUUGUGCCUUGGAUGACCACUUGCAAGCUUUUAAGAACCCAGGCACUAUGCAAGGAACCAGGAGGUAGAAAAGAAGCACUAAACAUGUUAUUAGGCCAAUUAACAGGGAUGUCGUGUGAAACUGUGACUCAUGAUGACCCAGUAUAUGCAGAGUAAAACUGUUCUCCACAGGGUUUUCAAGACUGUGGCCUUUCUGAAGCAGAUCACCAGGCCUAUCUUUCAAGCUUUAAGGCCGUACAACCCACCAGACAUUGGGCCACCUCACAGGAAACUGGUCAAGAGAACAGGAGACAUUCAAUGAGAGUUUUCUUUCUUGGUGUUUCAGGAGAACUAGAAAGAGUCACAGCCUUUCCUUAAUGUUGAUGUAUUUAUUGAGGAGGAAAGAAAUUAUGUAACAGGGAAGUGUGGGGCACUGUUUGAGAACUCGGUCUUACCUGGCUAGUUAUGGAACAUUCUUAUGCCUUGUUUAAGGAUUUCUUUUUUUUAUUUUUCAGAAUUUGUUUUCAGGAAGACAGGAGGAAAGGAAGACAUCUCAGGAUCCCAUUUCAAGGGUCCUUUGGCUACAUUUCCACUGUCAGAACAUUUUCUCCAAGAGUCCUGGGCCAGACACCUGGAUUUCCAGAUGGGUUUUGUAGUCAAGGAGAUUUUAGAGAGGGGAGGUAUUUCAGUUAUGUAGAAAAGUUCAGUUAUCUAAAGAAUUUAUUUUAUAAAAUACCACAAAUCUUUGUGACCUAAAACAACAGCAAUUUAUUACUUUUCAUGAUUUUGUGGACUGACUGGUAUCAACUGAGUGGUUUUGUUGCGCAUGGUUUAGCUGAGGUCACUCAUGGGCUACAUUUAGCUGGAAGCCCGGCUGGGACUAGGACAUCUAAGAUGGCCUCUCAUCCUCUAAUACCUCUCACCAUUUGGUAAUGUAGCCCAAGUUUCUUCAUACCAUGGCUUUUAGCUUCCAAGAAGGAAUAUUUCAAGAGGACAAGCCCCAAUAUGCAAGCACUAAUCAAGCCUCUGCUGGCAUCAUUUUGCUAAUGUCUCAUUGGCCAAAGCAAGUCACAUGAUCAAGUCUAGAGUCAGUGUGGCAGGGGGCUACACAAGGGUGCAAACACCAGGAGGUUUUUGUUCACUGGAGGCCACCACUAUAACGAUUUACCACAAGUGAGCAGGGCAGUUUUGCACACUGGAUCCUCAGUUGUCAGUGCUUAGUUAUGGAUGCGUAACUUAAGAUCUGGUCCUUGACUUUGCAGUUCCAGAAACUCUGUGUGAUUAGGAGUUCAUGCUUAGCCGCAUGCGUUUAUCUGAAAUUGCUUCUCAUCAUCACUCGAAGACGUGAAUUUAGGCUGUCAUAGUUUUAUCUCAAGAUUCUGUCGUCUAGGCCACAGAUGGUUGAACCAGAGUGGACACCUGACCUAUGACUCUGUUGGCUGAGCUGACCCAAUUGGACUUUCUCUUAAGACUCUGGAAUGGGAAUACUGAGAGACUAAGAUCCAAACUGGUGAAGAGAUUAUAGAAAAUCUCGUAGAUAGUCUGAAACGAGUUCAGAAAUAUAUCUAAACUCCUGAGAUGACUAGAAAAUUAGACCGCUAAACCAUAGUUUAAGUGGUUAAGUGCUAUGGCUGCCAACCAAAAGGUCGGCAGUUUAAUCCGCCAGGCGCUUCUUGGAAACUCUAUGGGGCAGUUCUACUCUGUCCUCUAGGGUCGCUAUGAGUUGGAAUCGACUCAGUGACAGUGGUUUUAAACCAUAGUUAUUAAGAGAUUGGCUGCUAACCAAAAGGUUAGCAGUUUGAAUCCACCAGCUGCUUCUUGGAAACCCUAUGGGCAGUUCUACUUUGUCCUAUAGGGUCGCUAUGAGUUGGAAUCAGCUUGAUGGCAACAGGUAUUCACUAGUGGAUAUAUGUUUCUUCUCAUUCUCUUAUGCUCCAUGACAAUAUGUAGCUGCAAGGGAGGCUGGGAAAUGUCAUCUCUAGCUGAGUAGCCAUGCACCCAACUACUAUGGAAGAAGGAGAAAGUGUGUUUUAGUGAAGACACCUGCUGCCUCCUUCCCUCCACCCCCUCCCCACACAGCAUAGUGUUCAAUUCCUGGUUACCUUUCAGGAGGGAGAAAGACAAGAGUGUAUUUACAGGGAGUAAACAGGAUGAUGAAGGCCUCAAAAUCAGGCCAUAAACAGAUUGGUUGAAAACUUGGGGAUCGUUGUAUUGAAUAUUUAGGAAACGAAAUGGCUGCUUUUGAAUGUUUUACGUGCAAAAAGAGAUAAAUGUUAUUCUGUAAAGGCUCCAGGAGUAAAUAUAAUAAGAGGAAGCUAACCAGUAACCAGUUGCCAUCAAGUCAGUUCUUAACUCAUGGCUCAGAGAAAUGUAUUUAUGUUCAUUAUAAGAAAAGAAGAUUCUAGCAGAGUUGUCCAGAAUGAUUUACACCUCAGGUACAUUGUGAACUAGAAGAGACCAAAAAAAAAAAGAUUUUUUUUUUUUAUUGAGUACCUAUUAUGUGCUCAACACUAUUGAGGCACUUUCACAGAUUUGUUGCUUCCAACUGAGAGUCUGUUGCAGCUCCACGUACUUUUCUCCAAACCCUAUUUUUCGUGACUCACUGACAAGCCUGCAAAGAGCAUAUAUGAGUUAAAUUUGUGGGGUAGAACAUCCUAGGGGAUAAACCCUGGAGGGUGUUGUGUAUGUUCAAGUUGUGAGUUCUGUGGUAGAUGGAGAAGUUGGCCAGGGUGCGGAAAGAAGGAAGCAUAUCACUUAGUUAUUUUCUGAUUCUCAGCAGCAACCUGAGAUCUUCCAGAAGGGGUUACAUAGUCCUGACCAGCAUAGCUUUGUGGCGGCCCUCCUGUCAGCCAUAUUACCACACUGCCAAGAAGUAUGAGAGGGCUGCUUUGAAAGCUCUGUCCAAUGUACGAAUGUCCAUUGUCUUCCAUAUAGCUCCUGUGGGUACUGGUGGGAGACAAGAUGCCUUUCUUGAUAUGAGUUCCUGGUUGUUUACUGGAGUCAACAAGACUGUUUUGUCAUUCCUUGUACUUCUGGAUCCAAAGAUCUAAGAGAACAGAGGGGCCCCCAAAUCUGCAGUUCACAUAAACAAAGUGACAGAGUAACAGGAAAUGGGCCAGGGCACAGAAACGAAGACAUUCCCCAGAACAAUGGGGCAGGGUAUCAGAAACUAGCCCACGAACUUCUUUAAAGUUGUCUCUCAGAAGCAACCAGAUGAAACGAGCCCCAGAGACAUGCGUCGAACAUCCACCUGUGACCGCUGUGUGACCUUUCACCAGGGGCAGUGAAGGGCUGCAGCCGCAGCUGGGGAAUCGAACUCAGAGCGAGAGACUGCGCAGGCAUGACACCCCAUAAGUCCUACUAUGAAUUCCAGAGGCCUGUGGGACAGGAGCCAUCUUAGAAAGCAGCUGCGCGUGCACCUUAGGUAGCCUAUCCCCACCCAAAACUGGCUAGUUACCGGAAAACCGCGCCUGUGCCUCUGAAUAAACAUGAAUUUUUUUCACACUCAAGUAUUUAAAAGCCCGUGCAAGUCCUUCGUUCUGUGAGAUGGGCGGUAAGCAUUGCCUAGGCCUUCCUUACCUCUGCUUGCAAUCCUCUUCAAUAAAGCUUUCCUGGUGUGCCUUACCUGCUCAUUCUUGACCAGUGAGAGGCAAGAACAUUAUUUAAUUAAAGGCAUAGAGACUCUGGCAUCA
This is a long non-coding RNA of Loxodonta africana (African savanna elephant), 8083 nucleotides long. RefSeq lists it as uncharacterized. Lineage: Eukaryota; Metazoa; Chordata; Mammalia; Proboscidea; Elephantidae. The transcript has 6 exons. The record is from RefSeq and is a predicted model, not a curated record.